Molecule: long non-coding RNA, 140 nt
Organism: Thalassophryne amazonica
Lineage: Eukaryota; Metazoa; Chordata; Actinopteri; Batrachoidiformes; Batrachoididae
Exons: 4
Source: RefSeq, a predicted model, not a curated record
GGAAAGCAUUUCCUCUAGUAAAAAGAAGGUCUACACCAGGAUUAUUCAACUAUAUUUUUCCAGGGGCCAAAUUUGUCAGAAUACUAUGAUCUGUGGGCCGGACAUUCUCGUAACCUGUACUAUUACUCUCAGAUGUACAA